This is a long non-coding RNA of Ornithorhynchus anatinus (platypus), 577 nucleotides long. RefSeq lists it as uncharacterized. The record is from RefSeq and is a predicted model, not a curated record. The transcript has 4 exons. NCBI's taxonomy places the organism in Eukaryota, Metazoa, Chordata, Mammalia, Monotremata, Ornithorhynchidae.
CAUCACCGAACACCAAGCGGAAAGUUAGGCGCCGUUGGCGGUUCUCUCAACGUCGUGGUGGUCGGUACCACCUGACCCUCCGUUGCCAAAUCCGAACUUGCCGGGGCCCGCUCUGCAGAUUGGCUCCUGGGUUAUUUUGGGGAGUCCCAGGUUUCAGCCCGCACGGUCGCUCCCGUCCCGCCUCCUACGGUUCUGACCAGGCACCGAAGGGGAAGGCUAGCCGUCGGGCAGCUCCGGUGGGACCGGGCUGCCCGGGAAAAACGUGCUAGCACCGGGCCCGACUCUUGGACUUCCACACCACGGCGGCCAGAUGACGCCAACCGGCCGCGCUGCGCUUUGAGGUGUUUCCCCGCUCACAGGCCAGGUGAGAUCCCUUGUCAGGGAGUCCGAUAAGACCAUCGUGUGCCAUCCGGUGCUGCCCACCUAACCCGCUGCUACUUUCAUUCCUCCUUCUCGCCGUCGUGAUCGCUUUCCAGCAACGGCCAUAGGCGGAUGACGGAUUGAACCGAAGAAAAUUCCUGACGGGCUUAAGUCUACAAUAAAGAAACUUGAGGUUGUUUAAUGAACUGGAAUCCAA